UUAAGUUCAGCGGGUAUCCCCGCCUGAUCCGAGGCCAAACUUUGGAAAAAGUCUGCGGUUUGCACCACACUUCAGACGGCACGUCCACCUCCGACCACGGAGCGAUUGAAAUUGCUUUCUUGCUACGCUCGGGGAAGGCGGACGGCGCCCACGCGUUUCGGUCCGGCCGGCUUCGGCCUGGUCCAACAUCAAGCAGAGCU
RNAcentral lists this unclassified non-coding RNA (200 nucleotides) under Fusicladium sp. RNAcentral describes it as "partial internal transcribed spacer 2". Lineage: Eukaryota; Fungi; Ascomycota; Dothideomycetes; Venturiales; Sympoventuriaceae. The record is from RNAcentral.